AGAGUUUGAUCAUGGCUCAGAACGAACGCUGGCGGCAGGCCUAACACAUGCAAGUCGAGCGCCCGCAAGGGAGCGGCAGACGGGUGAGUAACGCGUGGGAACGUGCCCUUUGGUUCGGAAUAUUCCCGGGAAACUGGGAGCAAAACCGGAUAAGCCCUUCGGGGGAAAGUUUACGCCAAAGGAUCGGCCCGCGUUAGAUUAGGUAGUUGGUGGGGUAACGGCCUACCAAGCCUACGAUCUAUAGCUGAUCUGAGAGGAUGAUCAGCCACACUGGGACUGAGACACGGCCCAGACUCCUACGGGAGGCAGCAGUGGGGAAUAUUGGACAAUGGGCGAAAGCCUGAUCCAGCAAUGCCGCGUGAGUGAUGAAGGCCUUAGGGUUGUAAAGCUCUUUUACCCGAGAUGAUAAUGACAGUAUCGGGAGAAUAAGCUCCGGCUAACUCCGUGCCAGCAGCCGCGGUAAUACGGAGGGAGCUAGCGUUGUUCGGAUUUGCUGGGCGUAAAGGGCGCGUAGGCGGAUUUUUAAGUCGGGGGUGAAAUCCCGGAGCUCAACUCCGGAACUGCCUUCGAUACUGGAAGUCUGGAGCACGGUAGAGGUGAGUGGAAUUCCGAGUGUAGAGGUGAAAUUCGUAGAUAUUCGGAGGAACACCAGUGGCGAAGGCGGCUCACUGGACCGUUGCUGACGCUGAGGCGCGAAAGCGUGGGGAGCAAACAGGAUUAGAUACCCCGGUAGUCC
Molecule: ribosomal RNA, 736 nt
Filed under: uncultured bacterium
Lineage: Bacteria
Description: bacterial SSU rRNA
Rfam family: Bacterial small subunit ribosomal RNA
Source: RNAcentral